GAACUGAAACAUCUAAGUACCCCGAGGAAAAGAAAUCAACCGAGAUUCCCCCAGUAGCGGCGAGCGAACGGGGAGGAGCCCAGAACCUGAAUCAGCGUAUGUGUUAGUGGAAGCGUCUGGAAAGUCGCACGGUACAGGGUGAUAGUCCCGUACACAAAAAUGCAUAUGUUGUGAGUUCGAUGAGUAGGGCGGGACACGUGACAUCCUGUCUGAAUAUGGGGGGACCAUCCUCCAAGGCUAAAUACUCCUGACUGACCGAUAGUGAACCAGUACCGUGAGGGAAAGGCGAAAAGAACCCCGGCGAGGGGAGUGAAACAGAACCUGAAACCGUGUACGUACAAGCAGUGGGAGCACCUUCGUGGUGUGACUGCGUACCUUUUGUAUAAUGGGUCAGCGACUUAUAUUUUGUAGCAAGGUUAACCGAAUAGGGGAGCCGUAGGGAAACCGAGUCUUAACUGGGCGAAUAGUUGCAAGGUAUAGACCCGAAACCCGGUGAUCUAGCCAUGGGCAGGUUGAAGGUUGGGUAACACUAACUGGAGGACCGAACCGACUAAUGUUGAAAAAUUAGCGGAUGACUUGUGGCUGGGGGUGAAAGGCCAAUCAAACCGGGAGAUAGCUGGUUCUCCCCGAAAGCUAUUUAGGUAGCGCCUCGUGAACUCAUCUUCGGGGGUAGAGCACUGUUUCGGCUAGGGGGUCAUCCCGACUUACCAAACCGAUGCAAACUCCGAAUACCGAAGAAUGUUAUCACGGGAGACACACGGCGGGUGCUAACGUCCGUCGUGAAGAGGGAAACAACCCAGACCGCCAGCUAAGGUCCCAAAGUCAUGGUUAAGUGGGAAACGAUGUGGGAAGGCACAGACAGCCAGGAUGUUGGCUUAGAAGCAGCCAUCAUUUAAAGAAAGCGUAAUAGCUCACUGGUCGAGUCGGCCUGCGCGGAAGAUGUAACGGGGCUAAACCAUGCACCGAAGCUGCGGCAGCGAACGUAUCACUUAAAACGCUUAACGUGACGGCAAAGCCGGCAUGUUCAAGCCACACUAAACGUUGAGUUGGCCGAUGUGCUGACAAACGAACAGGCGUUUUAAGGAUACGUUCGUUGGGUAGGGGAGCGUUCUGUAAGCCGUUGAAGGUGGCCUGUGAGGGUUGCUGGAGGUAUCAGAAGUGCGAAUGCUGACAUAAGUAACGAUAAUGCGGGUGAAAAACCCGCACGCCGGAAGACCAAGGGUUCCUGUCCAACGUUAAUCGGGGCAGGGUGAGUCGACCCCUAAGGCGAGGCUGAAAAGCGUAGUCGAUGGGAAACAGGUUAAUAUUCCUGUACUUGGUGUUACUGCGAAGGGGGGACGGAGAAGGCUAGGCUAGCCGGGCGACGGUUGUCCCGGUUUAAGCAUGUAGGCGGAGUGACCAGGUAAAUCCGGUUGCUUAUCAACGCUGAGGUGUGAUGACGAGUCACUACGGUGAUGAAGUAGUUGAUGCCAUGCUUCCAGGAAAAGCCUCUAAGCAUCAGGUAACAUGAAAUCGUACCCCAAACCGACACAGGUGGUCAGGUAGAGAAUACUCAGGCGCUUGAGAGAACUCGGGUGAAGGAACUAGGCAAAAUGGUGCCGUAACUUCGGGAGAAGGCACGCUGGCAUUAGGUAAAGGGACUUGCUCCCGGCGCCGAAGCCAGUCGCAGAUACCAGCUGGCUGCAACUGUUUAAUAAAAACACAGCACUGUGCAAACACGAAAGUGGACGUAUACGGUGUGACGCCUGCCCGGUGCUGGAAGGUUAAUUGAUGGGGUCAGCCGCAAGGCGAAGCUCUUGAUCGAAGCCCCAGUAAACGGCGGCCGUAACUAUAACGGUCCUAAGGUAGCGAAAUUCCUUGUCGGGUAAGUUCCGACCUGCACGAAUGGCGUAAUGAUGGCCAGGCUGUCUCCACCCGAGACUCAGUGAAAUUGAACUCGCUGUGAAGAUGCAGUGUACCCGCGGCAAGACGGAAAGACCCCGUGAACCUUUACUAUAGCUUGACACUGAACAUUGAGCCUUGAUGUGUAGGAUAGGUGGGAGGCAUAGAAGUGUGGACGCCAGUCUGCAUGGAGCCAACCUUGAAAUACCACCCUUUAAUGUUUGAUGUUCUAACUCGGCCCCGUAAUCCGGGGUGAGGACAGUGUCUGGUGGGUAGUUUGACUGGGGCGGUCUCCUCCCAAAGAGUAACGGAGGAGCACGAAGG
Molecule: ribosomal RNA, 2205 nt
Filed under: Yersinia enterocolitica
Lineage: Bacteria; Pseudomonadati; Pseudomonadota; Gammaproteobacteria; Enterobacterales; Yersiniaceae
Description: bacterial LSU rRNA
Rfam family: Bacterial large subunit ribosomal RNA
Source: RNAcentral